CCUACGGGUGGCAGCAGUGAGGAAUAUUGGUCAAUGGGCGGAAGCCUGAACCAGCCAAGUAGCGUGAAGGAUGACAGCCCUACGGGUUGUAAACUGCUUUUAUACGGGAAUAACGCGCCUUACGUGUAGGGUUUUGCAUGUACCUUAUGAAUAAGGACCGGCUAAUUCCGUGCCAGCAGCCGCGGUAAUACGGAAGGUCCGGGCGUUAUCCGGAUUUAUUGGGUUUAAAGGGAGCGUAGGCCGGAUUACAAGUGUGCUGGGAAAUGUUCGGGCUCAACCCGGGCCUUGCAGUGGAAACUGGCGUGCUUGAGUAUGCGGAAGGCACGCGGAAUUCGUGGUGUAGCGGUGAAAUGCUUAGAUAUGACGAAGAACUCCGAUUGCGAAGGCAGUUUGCUGCAGCGAAACUGACGCUGAGGCUCGAAAGCGCGGGUAUCGAACAGGAUUAGAUACCCCGGUAGUC
Molecule: ribosomal RNA, 460 nt
Filed under: uncultured bacterium
Lineage: Bacteria
Description: partial 16S ribosomal RNA
Rfam family: Bacterial small subunit ribosomal RNA
Source: RNAcentral